RNAcentral lists this ribosomal RNA (621 nucleotides) under uncultured Basidiomycota. Its description in RNAcentral is "LSU rRNA". It matches the Rfam family "Eukaryotic large subunit ribosomal RNA", at positions 1 to 635 of the family's 3401-position model. The record is from RNAcentral. Lineage: Eukaryota; Fungi; Basidiomycota.
CCUCAAAUCAGGUAGGACUACCCGCUGAACUUAAGCAUAUCAAUAAGCGGAGGAAAAGAAACUAACAAGGAUUCCCCUAGUAACUGCGAGUGAAGCGGGAAAAGCUCAAAUUUAAAAUCUGGUGGUCUUUGGCCAUCCGAGUUGUAAUCUAGAGAAGUGUUACCCGCGUCGGACCGUGUACAAGUCUCCUGGGAUGGAGCGUCAUAGAGGGUGAGAAUCCCGUCUUUGACACGGACUACCGAGGCUUUGUGGUGCGCUCUCAAAGAGUCGAGUUGUUUGGGAAUGCAGCUCAAAAUGGGUGGUAAAUUCCAUCUAAAGCUAAAUAUUGGCGAGAGACCGAUAGCGAACAUGUACCGUGAGGGAAAGAUGAAAAGAACUUUGGAAAGAGAGUUAAACAGUACGUGAAAUUGCUGAAAGGGAAACGCUUGAAGUCAGUCGCGUUGGCCAGAAAUCAGCCUUGCUUUAGUGGGGUGUACUUUCUGGUUGAUGGGCCAGCAUCAGUUUUGACCGGUGGAAAAAGUCGAGAGGAAGGUGGCAUCUUCGGGUGUGUUAUAGCCUCUCGUCGUAUACAUCGGUUGGGACUGAGGAACGCAGUACUUGUACUUCGGAUGCUGGCAUAAU